This 188-nucleotide microRNA precursor is filed under the name Oryza brachyantha (malo sina). RNAcentral describes it as "MIR812 microRNA precursor family". It matches the Rfam family "MIR812 microRNA precursor family". The record is from Rfam by way of RNAcentral. Lineage: Eukaryota; Viridiplantae; Streptophyta; Magnoliopsida; Poales; Poaceae.
AAUAAACCAAUUUUUCAUUUUUUAUCUUCAAUUUUGACUCUUUGUCUUAUUUAAUUUUUUUUACGAUUGAUAUUUUUAUUUUUAUUAGAUGAUAAAUCAUGAAUAUUAUUUUACGUGUGACUAAUCUUUUUAAUUUUUUGAUUUUUUUUUCAAAUAAGACGAAUGUUUCAACGUUAGACACGGAAACC